Molecule: ribosomal RNA, 557 nt
Filed under: Rossellomorea aquimaris
Lineage: Bacteria; Bacillati; Bacillota; Bacilli; Caryophanales; Bacillaceae
Description: partial 16S ribosomal RNA
Rfam family: Bacterial small subunit ribosomal RNA
Source: RNAcentral
UGCAGUCGAGCGGAUCGAUGGGAGCUUGCUCCCUGAGAUCAGCGGCGGACGGGUGAGUAACACGUGGGUAACCUGCCUGUAAGACUGGGAUAACUCCGGGAAACCGGGGCUAAUACCGGAUAAUUUAGUUCCUCGCAUGAGGAACUGUUGAAAGGUGGCUUUUCCUUCCCCCUUACAAAGGGACCCGCGGCGCAUUACCUAGUUGGGGAGGUACCGGUUCACCAGGGCACCAAUGCGAACCCAACCGGAAAGGGGGACCGGCCCCCCGGGGCCGGAAACCCGGCCCAAACUCCUACGGAAGGCACCAUUAGGGAACCUUCCCCAUGGAACAAAGGUCUGACGAACCACCCCCCCGGGAUUGAAAAAGGUUUUCGAAUCGAAAAAUUCUGUUGUUAGGAAAAAACAAUGGCCGUUCAAAUAGGGCGGCCCCUUGACGGACCCUAACCAAAAGGCCACGGUUAAUUACUGGCCACCACCCGCGGAAUUACUUAGUUGGCAGGCGUUGUCGGGAAUAAUGGGGCGUAAAGGGGGCGCAGUUGGUUCCUAAUUCUGAGGUG